UACAGAGGGUGCGAGCGUUGUCCGGAAUCACUGGGCGUAAAGGGCGCGUAGGCGGCCCCUUAAGCGUGUGGUGAAAGCGCGGGGCUCAACCCCGCGUCGGCCAUGGCGGACUGGGGGGCUGGAGCACGGUCAGAGGCAGGCGGAAUUCCGGGUGUAGCGGUGGAAUGCGUAGAGAUCCGGAAGAACACCGGUGGCGAAGGCGGUUAGCUGGGCAUGUCUGACACUGAGCGCGACAGCGUGGGGAGC
Molecule: ribosomal RNA, 246 nt
Filed under: uncultured bacterium
Lineage: Bacteria
Description: partial 16S ribosomal RNA
Rfam family: Bacterial small subunit ribosomal RNA
Source: RNAcentral